CCUACGGGUGGCAGCAGUGAGGAAUAUUGGUCAAUGGGCGUAAGCCUGAACCAGCCAAGUCGCGUGAGGGAUGAAGGUUCUAUGGAUCGUAAACCUCUUUUAUAAAGGCAUAAAGUGUGGGACGUGUCCUGUUUUGUAUGUACUUUCUGAAUAAGGAUCGGCUAACUCCGUGCCAGCAGCCUCAGGAAUACGGAGGAUCCGCGAGUUAUCCGGAUUUAUUGGGGUUAACGGGUGCGUAGGCGGCCUUUUAAGUCAGCGGUGAAAGUCUGUGGCUCAACCAUAGAAGUGCCGUUGAAACUGGGAGGCUUGAGUAUGUUUGAGGCAGGCGGAAUGCGUGGUGUAGCGGUGAAAUGCUGAGAUAUCACGCAGAACCCCGAUUGAGAAGGCAGCCUGCCAGGCCAUGACUGACGCUGAUGCACGAAAGCGUGGGGAUCAAACAGGAUUAGAUACCCCUGUAGUC
RNAcentral lists this ribosomal RNA (460 nucleotides) under uncultured bacterium. RNAcentral describes it as "partial 16S ribosomal RNA". It matches the Rfam family "Bacterial small subunit ribosomal RNA", at positions 338 to 795 of the family's 1533-position model. The record is from RNAcentral.